AAGCAAUCGAACCGCGAUUUUCCCAACUGCGCAUGCUCCAAAUCCAAAGAUGGCUGACGAAAGCGAACCGGGCGACUCAGCAUCACAGGUCUUUUCCAGGAUUUUUUUCAGAAGGAGGCAAAAGGCGUUUUGCGCCACAUAGGACAAAAGAAUCUGGGAAGAGUUUUUUGGUGAGCUAUUUCUCCUUGACAAACAAUAUAAGAAGACACCACCAGGAGGAGAGGAACUGCCAUUCAUGCUGACUGGCCUUGGAAAACGCUCACUAACCAUAUCUGAAAACAUGACACAUUCAGAGUUUUCAGAUUUGCUUGUGAGUGCAUAUCCGAGGCUGAGAAAUAUCUAUGGUGGCUGGAUGCUGCACAAGUCCACGGGUGGGAGGGGGCGGCGGAGCUUGGUUGUUAUCUCUCCAGGUCUACAUGGAUACACUGGCCAGCAGCUAAAAGCAGUGAGCGGGAAUGGAAAAUACACAUUGUACAGUUCUCCUUUACUCAAAGAACUUGCUCAAAGCCAAGUGUACAACCUGCAAGAAAAUGGUUCCACUUCCAGUACACAUCAGGGAAUGCAAGACAGAACUUGUAGAUUUGUGCUAUUACACUGAAGAGGAAAACUGCAACACAGGACAUGAAGAUGAAUUCCCAGAUUCCAUUUGCAACCAGUGAGACCAGAUGAAAUUGUUUGUGCCUUUCUGGUUGACUUCAUUGAAGUCCAUGCAGCCACAUACGGAUUACGACCUUCAGAUAAUGACGGCCAUGAGUCAAGUGGAUCAAUACCAGUCAGUCAAAUCCAGACCUUUCAAUGGUAAUAUUGUACAUUAGGUAAUCAUGGUGGUAAAUUAUGUUAUCUGGAUAAUAUACACUAUAAAGCGAUAUUUAAGUAUCGUCUUUUUUUUUUGUUAAAAAGCUUCAUCAUGUAUUAGAGUGUGAUGAAAUGUGGUAAUCCAAAAAGGUGGUAUGUCUGUGACAA
Scatophagus argus is the source of this 963-nucleotide long non-coding RNA. RefSeq lists it as uncharacterized. The transcript has 7 exons. Lineage: Eukaryota; Metazoa; Chordata; Actinopteri; Scatophagidae. The record is from RefSeq and is a predicted model, not a curated record.